UCCUCCUCCUCCUCCUCCUCCUGCUCCUCCUCCUUGUCCUAUUGACCAAUGGUAUCACGGCACGUCACGGUGGUGGUGGUGGUGGUGGUGGGAUAGGAGGCAGGCUGGCAGGGAGACCUCAUCACGGCUCACUCCUCAGUUCAUACUUGACCACCGCGGUGGACUGUGAGUGUAAAUACUAUAGCUGGGUUUAUUUUACUUCAGUUUUACGUGUACAGGACAAUACAGCGGCGCAGAUUGUGUUCCUAUGGAUUUUUUUUAUUACUGUAGUGUUGGCAGCGUGUGGAGUGUGGCAGAACGGCAGAGGUCACACAGCAGCUCAUCCCACAGCAGGCUGCCCUCCCCUGUGCCGCCACCACCACCACCACUACCAGUGAGGGAGGAGGCAGAGGUACAGCUCACCAAAUUGUCAGAUGAUGGAGAGAAGAAUUUUCUCACCUUGAAGAUAGAGGAGAAGAGCAAACUGGAGGAAACCAACUGGGAGGAGGAGGAAAAACUUUGCUCCAGUCUAAUGGAGAGAGAGAGAGAGAGAGAGAGAGAGAGAGAGAGAGAGAGAGAGAGAGAGAGAGAGAGAGAGAGAGAGAGAGAAGGAAAAUUCACAGGAGCAAAGGUCAGUCAGUCUCUCUCUCUCUCUCUCUCUCUCUCUCUCUCUCUCUCUCUCUCUCUCUCUCUCUCUCUCUCUCUCUCUCUCUCCCUUGCCCCUACAGAUUCCCACGCUGCUGUACCACGGGAUGGAGAGUGAGAGAGUGGAGAAGAGGGAGCUGAUCAGAAGGGCUGUGGAAGUGGAAGGGUGCCCUGUCCGAGUCCUGCCAGUCCUGUUAUGACGUCCUAUGAGGGAGAAGACAACAUCGAGUACUUUUUGGGCCUCACACCAGCUGGGGUCGUUGUACUCAAAAAUAAGGCGAAAGUGGGGAAUUAUUUUUGUCCGAGAAUUUCCAAGGUGUAUUUUCGUGGGAGAUUUUUCAGAGUGAAAGAUAAAAAUAGCUUGGAGAACACCUACGGCUUGGAGACACCCAGUAAGUCAGCCUGUAAACACCUGUGGCAGUGCUUCUUCAGAUUGACUCAAGCUUCUGGGAAUUCUACGGAUGCUGUCUUCUCCCUUGGAGCUGGUCUGGGGGGUGGACGAGGUGGGGGGCAGGUGUGUGAGGCUGUGUGAGGUGUAAGAAGAGGGAGAGGUGUGUAGAAAUUAAGUUUAAGGCAGAGGAGUGACAGAGACCAUUUUUAGUUUGUUUUGGAGAGGUUUUGGGUGUUUUGGUGGUGUUUGGG
Scylla paramamosain (green mud crab) is the source of this 1266-nucleotide RNA transcript. It is a transcript of the gene named band 4.1-like protein 4, with no coding region annotated. Lineage: Eukaryota; Metazoa; Arthropoda; Malacostraca; Decapoda; Portunidae. The record is from RefSeq and is a predicted model, not a curated record. The transcript is spliced from 6 exons.